GGGUUGUGAGGUUAAGCGACUAAGCGUACACGGUGGAUGCCCUGGCAGUCAGAGGCGAUGAAGGGCGUGCUAAUCUGCGAUAAGCGCCGGUAAGGUGAUAUGAACCGUUAUAACCGGCGAUACCCGAAUGGGGAAACCCAGUGUGAUUCGUCACACUAUCAUUAACUGAAUCCAUAGGUUAAUGAGGCGAACCGGGGGAACUGAAACAUCUAAGUACCCCGAGGAAAAGAAAUCAACCGAGAUUCCCCCAGUAGCGGCGAGCGAACGGGGAGGAGCCCAGAGCCUGAAUCAGCAUGUGUGUUAGUGGAAGCGUCUGGAAAGGCGCGCGAUACAGGGUGACAGCCCCGUACACAAAAGCGCAUGUGCUGUGAGCUCGAUGAGUAGGGCGGGACACGUGGUAUCCUGUCUGAAUAUGGGGGGACCAUCCUCCAAGGCUAAAUACUCCUGACUGACCGAUAGUGAACCAGUACCGUGAGGGAAAGGCGAAAAGAACCCCGGCGAGGGGAGUGAAAAAGAACCUGAAACCGUGUACGUACAAGCAGUGGGAGCCCCACCACUAAGCCAGUGGUGAACUCCACAUACGCAUCCUUUGCUGAGGAUACGGUUAACGGAGCGAAAGCGACGUUCAACCGCAAAAGAAGCAGAGGGGGCUUAGUGGUGGGGUGACUGCGUACCUUUUGUAUAAUGGGUCAGCGACUUAUAUUCUGUAGCAAGGUUAACCGUAUAGGGGAGCCGGAGGGAAACCGAGUCUUAAUUGGGCGUUAAGUUGCAGGGUAUAGACCCGAAACCCGGUGAUCUAGCCAUGGGCAGGUUGAAGGUUGGGUAACACUAACUGGAGGACCGAACCGACUAAUGUUGAAAAAUUAGCGGAUGACCUGUGGCUGGGGGUGAAAGGCCAAUCAAACCGGGAGAUAGCUGGUUCUCCCCGAAAGCUAUUUAGGUAGCGCCUCGUGAACUCAUCUCCGGGGGUAGAGCACUGUUUCGGCUAGGGGGCCAUCCCGGCUUACCAACCCGAUGCAAACUGCGAAUACCGGAGAAUGUUAUCACGGGAGACACACGGCGGGUGCUAACGUCCGUCGUGAAGAGGGAAACAACCCAGACCGCCAGCUAAGGUCCCAAAGUCAUGGUUAAGUGGGAAACGAUGUGGGAAGGCCCAGACAGCCAGGAUGUUGGCUUAGAAGCAGCCAUCAUUUAAAGAAAGCGUAAUAGCUCACUGGUCGAGUCGGCCUGCGCGGAAGAUGUAACGGGGCUAAACCAUGCACCGAAGCUGCGGCAGCGACACUGUGUGUUGUUGGGUAGGGGAGCGUUCUGUAAGCCUGUGAAGGUGUGUCGUGAGGCAUGCUGGAGGUAUCAGAAGUGCGAAUGCUGACAUAAGUAACGAUAAAGCGGGUGAAAAGCCCGCUCGCCGGAAGACCAAGGGUUCCUGUCCAACGUUAAUCGGGGCAGGGUGAGUCGACCCCUAAGGCGAGGCCGAAAGGCGUAGUCGAUGGGAAACGGGUUAAUAUUCCCGUACUUGGUGUUACUGCGAAGGGGGGACGGAGAAGGCUAUGUUGGCCGGGCGACGGUUGUCCCGGUUUAAGCGUGUAGGCUGGUUUUCCGUGCAAAUCCGGAAAAUCAAGGCUGAGGCGUGAUGACGAGGCACUACGGUGCUGAAGCAACAAAUGCCCUGCUUCCGGAAAAGCCUCUAAGCAUCAGGUAACAUCAAAUCGUACCCCAAACCGACACAGGUGGUCAGGUAGAGAAUACCAAGGCGCUUGAGAGAACUCGGGUGAAGGAACUAGGCAAAAUGGUGCCGUAACUUCGGGAGAAGGCACGCUGACACGUAGGUGAAGUGAUUUACUCACGGAGCUGAAGUCAGUCGAAGAUACCAGCUGGCUGCAACUGUUUAUUAAAAACACAGCACUGUGCAAACACGAAAGUGGACGUAUACGGUGUGACGCCUGCCCGGUGCCGGAAGGUUAAUUGAUGGGGUCAGCGCAAGCGAAGCUCCUGAUCGAAGCCCCGGUAAACGGCGGCCGUAACUAUAACGGUCCUAAGGUAGCGAAAUUCCUUGUCGGGUAAGUUCCGACCUGCACGAAUGGCGUAAUGAUGGCCGGGCUGUCUCCACCCGAGACUCAGUGAAAUUGAACUCGCUGUGAAGAUGCAGUGUACCCGCGGCAAGACGGAAAGACCCCGUGAACCUUUACUAUAGCUUGACACUGAACAUUGAGCCUUGAUGUGUAGGAUAGGUGGGAGGCUUUGAAGUGUGGACGCCAGUCUGCAUGGAGCCGACCUUGAAAUACCACCCUUUAAUGUUUGAUGUUCUAACGUGGACCCGUUACCCGGGUUGCGGACAGUGUCUGGUGGGUAGUUUGACUGGGGCGGUCUCCUCCUAAAGAGUAACGGAGGAGCACGAAGGUUGGCUAAUCCUGGUCGGACAUCAGGAGGUUAGUGCAAUGGCAUAAGCCAGCUUGACUGCGAGCGUGACGGCGCGAGCAGGUGCGAAAGCAGGUCAUAGUGAUCCGGUGGUUCUGAAUGGAAGGGCCAUCGCUCAACGGAUAAAAGGUACUCCGGGGAUAACAGGCUGAUACCGCCCAAGAGUUCAUAUCGACGGCGGUGUUUGGCACCUCGAUGUCGGCUCAUCACAUCCUGGGGCUGAAGUAGGUCCCAAGGGUAUGGCUGUUCGCCAUUUAAAGUGGUACGCGAGCUGGGUUUAGAACGUCGUGAGACAGUUCGGUCCCUAUCUGCCGUGGGCGCUGGAGAACUGAGGGGGGCUGCUCCUAGUACGAGAGGACCGGAGUGGACGCAUCACUGGUGUUCGGGUUGUCAUGCCAAUGGCACUGCCCGGUAGCUAAAUGCGGAAGAGAUAAGUGCUGAAAGCAUCUAAGCACGAAACUUGCCCCGAGAUGAGUUCUCCCUGAGACUUAGAGUCUCCUGAAGGAACGUUGAAGACGACGACGUUGAUAGGCCGGGUGUGUAAGCGCAGCGAUGCGUUGAGCUAACCGGUACUAAUGAACCGUGAGGCUUAACCUUACAACGCCGAAG
RNAcentral lists this ribosomal RNA (3024 nucleotides) under Salmonella enterica subsp. enterica serovar Worthington. RNAcentral's name for it is "23S ribosomal RNA". It matches the Rfam family "Bacterial large subunit ribosomal RNA". The record is from RNAcentral. Lineage: Bacteria; Pseudomonadati; Pseudomonadota; Gammaproteobacteria; Enterobacterales; Enterobacteriaceae.